Molecule: long non-coding RNA, 887 nt
Organism: Monodelphis domestica (gray short-tailed opossum)
Lineage: Eukaryota; Metazoa; Chordata; Mammalia; Didelphimorphia; Didelphidae
Source: RefSeq, a predicted model, not a curated record
CUCUCUCUCUCUCUCUCUCUCUCUCUCUCUCUCUUUACAACCCCACCCCCAUUGCCUCCCCUCUUCAUACCCAGGCUAACACCACCAGCUGUCACUUUUCAGGAAGUUUUUGUAGAAGUAGCUAAGUUAAUAUAACAAUGGUUGAAUUGAACAGUCUGAAAUUUACUUCUCCUCUCACUAGGAACAGAGAUGGAGAAAUCAAGCCCAAGUGACUGUAAGUUACCUGACAGAAGCCAUCAAGUAAGUGAUAAUGAUAAAAUUGAGUCCAGAUGAUUCCUGAGUCCAGGUUCAUCACUCUUUCCACCACGUUAAAGCUAGAAUAGGUUUGUGAGGAACACCAACGUUUAGAAGUGUUUUCAUCAGUGUGAAUUUCUUUCAUCUGUAAGGAAGCUGUUUCAGUAUCUAUGGCCUUUUUCUGAGCAAAUGUCAAAAUCUGCUCAGUAGGGAAACAUCAAUGAAGUGCUUCAUCUUCAACGCUCUAGCCAAUCUUGGAGGAUAUAAUUGAUGAAACCACCACAGUCUCAAUGAGACUGAUUCUUGCAGAGGCCAAGAGACCCCAGCCAACAAAUUAUGAAGAGACCUGUUGCAUGAAUUACUCAGUUUGAUACCUGAGGAUUAUAUCCUAAUAUGCCCUGAAUAAUUCUGACUUUACAAUUGACAUUGAACUUUGCAUCUUGCAUAGAUGUCAAAAUGAAAGAAGAGCUCAUUGAUAAGUUGUGGAGAGAACAACUAAGUACUGAAAGAGUUUCUUCAAGAACUAAGCCUUUAAUAGUUGUGAAUGACCUGAUAAUUUUUAAGGACAAACAGCAAAUUGAAAAACAGAAGCAUGAAAUCCCAUCACAUUUCUCUAAGACAUACUAGUAAACUUGGGAGCCAUUUGCAUCUUA